GACAGAGGGUGCAAACGUUGUUCGGAAUUACUGGGCGUAAAGCGAGUGUAGGCGGUUUAGAAAGUCGGAUGUGAAAGCCCCGGGCUCAACCCGGGAAGUGCACUCGAUACUACCAAGCUAGAGUAUCGGAGAGGUUGGCGGAAUUCUCGGUGUAGAGGUGAAAUUCGUAGAUAUCGAGAGGAACACCGGCGGCGAAGGCGGCCAACUGGACGAAUACUGACGCUGAGACUCGAAAGCGUGGGUAGCAAACAGG
RNAcentral lists this ribosomal RNA (253 nucleotides) under uncultured bacterium. Its description in RNAcentral is "partial 16S ribosomal RNA". It matches the Rfam family "Bacterial small subunit ribosomal RNA", at positions 524 to 776 of the family's 1533-position model. The record is from RNAcentral.